Molecule: non-coding RNA, 136 nt
Organism: Brachypodium distachyon (stiff brome)
Lineage: Eukaryota; Viridiplantae; Streptophyta; Magnoliopsida; Poales; Poaceae
Source: Rfam
AAAGUACUCCUUCCGUCCAACAAAAGAUGUUUCAACUUUGACUAAAUUUGAAUGCAUCUAUAUACUAAGUCAUGUCUAGAUACAUUCAAAUUUUGACAAACUUGAGACAUCUUUUGUUGUACGGAGGAAGUAUUUG